Molecule: ribosomal RNA, 432 nt
Filed under: uncultured bacterium
Lineage: Bacteria
Description: partial 16S ribosomal RNA
Rfam family: Bacterial small subunit ribosomal RNA
Source: RNAcentral
ACGAACGCUGGCGGCAUGCCUAACACAUGCAAGUCGAACGAGACCUUCGGGUCUAGUGGCGCACGGGUGCGUAACGCGUGGGAAUCUGCCCUUGGGUUCGGAAUAACAGUUGGAAACGACUGCUAAUACCGGAUGAUGACGUAAGUCCAAAGAUUUAUCGCCCAAGGAUGAGCCCGCGUAGGAUUAGCUAGUUGGUGAGGUAAAGGCUCACCAAGGCGACGAUCCUUAGCUGGUCUGAGGGGAUGAUCAGCCACACUGGGACUGAGACACGGCCCAGACUCCUACGGGAGGCAGCAGUGGGGAAUAUUGGACAAUGGGCGAAAGCCUGAUCCAGCAAUGCCGCGUGAGUGAUGAAGGCCUUAGGGUUGUAAAGCUCUUUUACCCGGGAUGAUAAUGACAGUACCGGGAGAAUAAGCUCCGGCUAACUCCGUG